UCUUGGUCAGGCUGGUCUUGAACUCCUGACCUCAAAUGCUCUGCCCGCCUCAGCCUCCCAAAGUGCUGGGAUUACAGGCUUGAGCCACCACACCCGGCCUGUCCUUUAUUUUUAUUUGCUGCCCUUGCCACGCCUCCAACCCUGAAAGGAUUAACUGAAUGAGAGAGGAGGAUCAGUCCAUAGAUGAGGAAAGAGAGAAGCAACUAAACCAGCCAUCUUCUUCCCUGAGUGUUGCUGGCAGCAGGCCUGAGUUUGGGGGUAGGAAAGGAGGAGAAAGCCACAACUGACAGUUACAGAAAGCUUUUCAUGGUUCACUGACUGAGGACAAUCAACCCCUUCAUAAUCCAUAACCCAAAGAUUGAACUGUCUGAGAACACCAGAGAAAGACUGCUCCUGCCAUCCACAUUGCAGCAAACCUUCAGGACCUUGAACCUUGGGUUCAUAGUCUUACAACUCAGAAGCAUCCCUCCACACUCUCAAAACUGGACAUCCUUGGGAACCCUUAAGGUAAAGCUAACCAGGGAAGAUUUUCUGCCCAGAAGAUGGCAUCCUUUUCCCCAAGAUCACAGAAGCUUUUUCCCAAGAUCACAGAUCAAGACUUCUCUAGUACCAUGAGACUCUUAUCUUUGAAUUUUUCCCCUUGCUAUGCCUCUAUAAACAAUAGAAGUAAAAAUGGAAUCUGUUGUGUGCACUCAUGGGGUAUACUUUUAUUUGUGAAGGAUGCUGCAGCCAUGCAGACUUAUACAUGGAUAACAGAUAUGGUUUGGCUCUGUGUCCCCACCCAAAACUCAUGUUGAAUUGUAAUCCCCAGUGUUUGUGAGGACUGGUGGGAGGUGAUUGGAUCAUGGUUGUGGUUUCUAAUGGUUUAACGUGAUCCCUUUAGUACUGUCUUGUGAUAGAGUUCUCAUGAGGUCUGGUUGUUUAAAAGUGUGUGGAACCUUCCUGUUCACUCUUUCUCCUGCUCUGACAAGUGAAGAUGUGACUGCUUUUCCUUCAACUUCUGCCAUGAUUGUAAAUUUCCUGAGGCCUCUUCAGCCAUGCUUCCUGUACAACCUGCAGAACUGUGAGUCAAUUAAACCACUUUUUUUUUAUAAAGUACCCAGUCUCAGGUACUUCUUUAUAGCAAUACAAGAACGGACUAAUACAAUAAACUUAUGCCUUGAUAGAUGGAAGAUGAAGGCCCAAUGUAGGUGAGAAAUUUUAAUGGUAUGUACAUUGCUCCAUAAUCAGUCAGAAAGAACUCCUCUCAACCUACAGUGUGGGUUAAAAGAACAUUGCCAGAAGGUCGUCAUUCUUCUAGAAGGGCAUCAUUUGUUAGGUACUUUUUUCCAUAGUUAGUAAAGGAGGCAAUGAUUAGAAA
RNAcentral lists this long non-coding RNA (1360 nucleotides) under Homo sapiens (human). RNAcentral's name for it is "HSALNT0328197". The record is from RNAcentral. Lineage: Eukaryota; Metazoa; Chordata; Mammalia; Primates; Hominidae.